Osmerus eperlanus (European smelt) is the source of this 558-nucleotide long non-coding RNA. RefSeq lists it as uncharacterized. The record is from RefSeq and is a predicted model, not a curated record. The transcript is spliced from 3 exons. Lineage: Eukaryota; Metazoa; Chordata; Actinopteri; Osmeriformes; Osmeridae.
UCAGAUUGCUACUUAAAGAGGAGCCUGCUUGACUUCAGUGUUUCAGCCUUGAAGGCUGAUGAGGCUAUUGCUGGCUGUAUGCCCAGGUCUCCAGCGCCCUCCCUCCCUGCUCCAGAGGCUCCAGAGGCCCAGGAGGAGGCUGCAGGACCCGGGGGGGGGCGGGUGGAGGUCCAGGCCCCCUCCUCCAAUCUCACGCCAGCCCCCAAACCAGUCAGGACCGACCCAGACAAGGUCCCCAAGUGGCUCAAACUGCCUGGUAAGAAGUGAGGACACUUCCUGUCACCUGAGUACGACACCUACGGUGCCUCACCCGGGACACACAGAACAGAAUGGACUCCCUUACUCAUACCCGAUAGAACCAUACCACACACACACAGACACACACAGCUUCUAAAUACACAAACAUCCUCUAUAGAUACCACAUACACACACACACACAUGUUCCAACCAAGAUAGGCUGUAAGCAGAAUCACUAGUUUUUUUCCAAAGAAUGAAUGAUACCCAUGAAAUAAAUAAAUACAUUUGGUAAACAAAGAAUGUUUCAAUUGCCAAAAUCAA